Molecule: ribosomal RNA, 70 nt
Organism: Phytophthora infestans T30-4
Lineage: Eukaryota; Oomycota; Peronosporomycetes; Peronosporales; Peronosporaceae
Source: RefSeq, a predicted model, not a curated record
GGCGUUUGCUCAUUUGAAUACAUUAGCAUGGAAUAAUAAGAUACGGCCUUGGUGGUCUAUUUUGUUGGUU